This 331-nucleotide long non-coding RNA is filed under the name Brachypodium distachyon (stiff brome). RNAcentral's name for it is "long non-coding RNA (BDIS_LNC005909)". Lineage: Eukaryota; Viridiplantae; Streptophyta; Magnoliopsida; Poales; Poaceae. The record is from RNAcentral.
AUCCUCAAUGACAACUGACUCAUCAUCUAAGUCUACACAGAGAUCUGAAAUCUUCGAGACAACUAUAUUGUGUAAGCCAUCUACAUCCCCAUUUGCAGUCCCAACAUUCUUAUGAAGUAAGGUAAGCGCUCUCUCCAUCUCAACAUCCUUAAGUAAAUUAAUCGAUUCACUAACAGAUGAAAUACUAGAACCUAGAGACACCCCAAUACGACUAGCCCUCUCCAUGAUUUCAGAAUCAGGUAGUUCAACAAAAGAAAAUUUUGAAAGUAAAUUUGUACCUGAAUUAAAGUUCUCGUUGCGGUCACGAGUCCGACGAGCCGCGCGCUCCAAC